This is a small nuclear RNA of Capsella rubella, 199 nucleotides long. It matches the Rfam family "U2 spliceosomal RNA". Rfam says of the family: U2 is a small nuclear RNA (snRNA) component of the spliceosome (involved in pre-mRNA splicing). Complementary binding between U2 snRNA (in an area lying towards the 5' end but 3' to hairpin I) and the branchpoint sequence (BPS) of the intron results the bulging out of an unpaired adenosine, on the BPS, which initiates a nucleophilic attack at the intronic 5' splice site, thus starting the first of two transesterification reactions that mediate splicing. NCBI's taxonomy places the organism in Eukaryota, Viridiplantae, Streptophyta, Magnoliopsida, Brassicales, Brassicaceae. The record is from Rfam.
AUACCUUUCUCGGCCUUUUGGCUAAGAUCAAGUGUAGUAUCUGUUCUUAUCAGUUUAAUAUCUGAUACAUAGUGCCAUCGGCCUAUUUGAUAUUAACUCUAUUUCUUUAGGGGAAGAGACUAUUAUGGCAGUUCACUGUCCGGGCUCUUGAGCGUCGCCUUUGCGUUGCACUACCGCAAAGGCUUUAGGCGCACCCCAC